UGGCGAGUUGUGUAGUGGUAGCACAGAGGACUUUGAAUCCUUAUGCCCAGGUUCGAAUCCUGCUCGCCAG
This 70-nucleotide transfer RNA is filed under the name Dehalococcoides mccartyi. Its description in RNAcentral is "tRNA-Gln". It matches the Rfam family "tRNA". From Rfam's summary of the family: Transfer RNA (tRNA) molecules are approximately 80 nucleotides in length. Lineage: Bacteria; Bacillati; Chloroflexota; Dehalococcoidia; Dehalococcoidales; Dehalococcoidaceae. The record is from RNAcentral.